Molecule: ribosomal RNA, 193 nt
Filed under: uncultured bacterium
Lineage: Bacteria
Description: partial 16S ribosomal RNA
Rfam family: Bacterial small subunit ribosomal RNA
Source: RNAcentral
CAACUCGCCUGCAUGAAGUCGGAAUUGCUAGUAAUCGCAGAUCAGCAUGCUGUGGUGAAUACGUUCCCGGGCCUUGUACACACCGCCCGUCACACCAUGGGAGUCGGUAACACCCAAAGUUGGUAGUCUAACCGCAAGGAGGACGCCGCCUAAGGUGGGAUUGAUGACUGGGGUGAAGUCGUAACAAGGUAAC